CGCGGGUUUGGAGUGCAAGCUGUAUAGGCCAGCUGCGGCCAAAAGCAUUCCAGUAGCCCGAAAAAAUACACAUUACCAACCGGUUGCGUGUUUUAUAACGCGCCACACGACAACACGAACGAGGUAUAAACCAAAAUAGAUGCUUUCGAGAUGUGGUGCUGGCGCAAAAUGUUAGGAAUAUCAUGGACGGAGCGCCGCACUAAUGCAUCUAUUUUGGAACUGGAUAUCAGAACCCGUCUCUCUACUGUGUGCUUCCAGCGUCUGCUAACUUUUUUCAGCCACGUGGCCCGUUGAAAACCAGAUAAUUUGGAAAAAGUAUAAUGGUAGGCCACGUGGACGGAAGAAGGGCAGAGGUAAGGCACCUGCACGUUGGACUGAUCCUGUACGAGAGGCCGUCAAACGAAAUAUACAGUCGGCGGUGCACUUAGCACAAGAUAGAAACGCCUGUAGAGUUUUGGUUGGGGGAAGCAUUCCUGGUGGUCACGACCCUCAGUCUUGAGGAAUCG
Achroia grisella is the source of this 506-nucleotide long non-coding RNA. RefSeq lists it as uncharacterized. The record is from RefSeq and is a predicted model, not a curated record. The transcript has 3 exons. NCBI's taxonomy places the organism in Eukaryota, Metazoa, Arthropoda, Insecta, Lepidoptera, Pyralidae.